RNAcentral lists this ribosomal RNA (345 nucleotides) under Triticum aestivum (bread wheat). Its description in RNAcentral is "partial small subunit ribosomal RNA". Lineage: Eukaryota; Viridiplantae; Streptophyta; Magnoliopsida; Poales; Poaceae. The record is from RNAcentral.
AUGCAGCAGAAAGAGAUGGCCGGCCGGUGGCCCGUAGAAGAAUCUACACCGCCGGUGGAAAAAGGCUACUUGGGCGGCGGAGUCCGGCAGAAAGAGUCGGACUCAGAUGUACUGUACUGUUCUCUCGACCCAAUUGCACGUACAUGCCUUCAAGGAAAGGGGUGUGCAUGCAUUUCCUGCAAGGGAAAAGUGACGUUUGGUUGUAUGGUUAGGGUGGUUGUCCUAUCAGGAUCAAGGAUCAACCCAAUACCCUCAAACGAUCUCACUCAAGUUGAGGAAGCCCCUAGACUAGCCACCUUAGGCCACCAUGGAUUCAAUCUAGGAAUUUCACAGCACGCGGUAUAA